ACCCGUUACAGAGGGAGAGAGAGCGGUUACAGAGGGAGAGAGACCCGUUACAGAGGGAGAGAGACCAAGAGAAAACUGACAAAAAACAGUUAGAGGAGCGUUACAUUGCCCUGACUAUAGAAAGGACAGGUUUAGUGACAGGGUCAGUCUUCUGACCAAUGAGAAGGUGAUGCUGGAGAAGAAGAUCUCUGGGUGUGGCACUGGAAGCGUGGUCAGUCGGACCAUGGAGUUUCCAACAACGAGGACUGUGCCGAGGAAUACCAUCUGGACGGCGUUUUAGCCAACUGGAACGAUGCGACCACAUGCUGCGCUGGAUCUGUGAGAAAUGACAUAUAGGUCAAAUCCACAUCUUGUUUAAAUGUGUUUAUUAUAUUAUAAUCUUCAACUGUUUGUUGUACAUUAACAUUUUCCCAAAGAUUGUGUAAUUAACUGUGAGCACAUGCAUUUACUUGUACAUGGCAUUAUCAUUCUUGCUUUCAGCUGUAAUUCAUUUUCGGCAAUAGAUUAUUUGCAGCCUUUUGGAUCAGUCACAACACUGUAUCAGUUUCAGCUUUGUCCUCUUCCCUCUUAAACAGUUUAUUAAUGAAGUAUUACUUGUAUGAAAUUGUAUGAAAUGGCACUGCUUCUAUGAAAUGAUGUAAUGGUAUGAAAUGGCACUGCUUCUAUGAAAUGAUGUAAUGGUAUGAAAUGGCACUGCUUCUAUUAAAUAAGAAAUGUGA
Coregonus clupeaformis (lake whitefish) is the source of this 719-nucleotide long non-coding RNA. RefSeq lists it as uncharacterized. The transcript has 2 exons. NCBI's taxonomy places the organism in Eukaryota, Metazoa, Chordata, Actinopteri, Salmoniformes, Salmonidae. The record is from RefSeq and is a predicted model, not a curated record.